This 201-nucleotide ribosomal RNA is filed under the name uncultured Acinetobacter sp. RNAcentral describes it as "partial 16S ribosomal RNA". It matches the Rfam family "Bacterial small subunit ribosomal RNA", at positions 334 to 526 of the family's 1533-position model. Lineage: Bacteria; Pseudomonadati; Pseudomonadota; Gammaproteobacteria; Moraxellales; Moraxellaceae. The record is from RNAcentral.
UACUCCUACGGGAGGCAGCAGUGGGGAAUAUUGGACAAUGGGCGAAAGCCUGAUCCAGCCAUGCCGCGUGUGUGAAGAAGGCCUUUUGGUUGUAAAGCACUUUAAGCGAGGAGGAGGCUACUUAGAUUAAUACUCUAGGAUAGUGGACGUUACUCGCAGAAUAAGCACCGGCUAACUCUGUGCCAGCAGCCGCGGUAAUAC